CUCCUCGUGCGUCCCCGCCUACACGUGGAUGUUCAAGCUAUCCUCAAGCAGGAAAGCUUCUGCAACAGACUGAUGGGUAGUGGAUGCAGUGCAGCUCAUUUCUGUGGCAGAUUUUCUUCUGGUUUGACGCAUGAGAGAAAAUCAAGAUAAACCAUGAGAACACAUCAGUCAGCAAGAUUCUGAGUAUUGCCAACUUGGAAUAUAUCUAUCUUGGCCCCAGAAGAAUCCUACAAAGAGGUUAAACACAAUAUCUGUUGGAUAGAAAUUCUUCAAAUAUGAUCACAUUCACCCAGGCUGUUUUUACUUGUUUUCAAGUUGUUAAUGUUAUGACAUUUUGCACAGAAUAAGAGAUUCGUGUUGCUUCAGAUGCAUUUUUACUACUGGAAAUAUUUCAUCUAAUUUAAGCUGAAUAGUUGAGCAGCACAUGCAGGAGGUAGAAUACAUGACACCCAUUCGCUUACUGUAAGUUUACAAGACAAUGACCUGCUUUGUUCACACAUGGGCUUAAUUUGAUAUCACACAGUCUUUAUGCUAGAGAGUUGGCAGGUUAAAAUCCACUUACUGGCUGAACUAAGUGAGUCAGACAUUUGGAUUCCUAUGUGUAACUCUGCCCGGGAAUGUGUAGUGCAUAUGUGAAAACAGCUUUGCAUGCAAGGACCUGUAACUCAAGAAUUCCUAAAUUUAUGACAAUGGCAAAAUUUUCCAGAAAUGUAAAACGGGAUAAAAUGAUGAAGAAAUUUGCAAUUUUGACCAAGAGGUCAAAAUUGUUGCAUUGUAAUAUUAUGCAAAAACACUUUUUCGCAGCCUUGAAAUAAAGGAGACUGUGAUCAUAUUUUAUUUUGGAUACUGAACUGGUGGCAAUAAUCUCUGCUGGCAGAUCUCUAUAUAAGAGACAGGACAGACAAGGGUGUAAAUUACAAUACUGGAAAAAUUGCGAAACAGUAAUUCUAGUAACUGAACUCAUACUUUUCUGCUCCAUUUGAGUAGUCAAAGCACUUUUAGAAAUGUGAAGCUAGAGACUCCAGUAACCAUAGUUAACUGUAUUCCAGGGCUAGAGCAGACAACACUGGAGAAAAUUUGAUACUGCUGUCUAAAAGUAAGCAUAUAUUCAGUGAGAUUGCAAAUCAC
Molecule: long non-coding RNA, 1128 nt
Organism: Oreochromis niloticus (Nile tilapia)
Lineage: Eukaryota; Metazoa; Chordata; Actinopteri; Cichliformes; Cichlidae
Exons: 5
Source: RefSeq, a predicted model, not a curated record